This 546-nucleotide long non-coding RNA is filed under the name Drosophila guanche. Lineage: Eukaryota; Metazoa; Arthropoda; Insecta; Diptera; Drosophilidae. The record is from RNAcentral.
GCUUUUAGUAUUUUCUUAAUGCAAAAACAUAUAAGUUAGACCCAUUAUCAAACUCUAAUCAUUUCUCCUUAAUUUUAAUUUAAAAAUACUGUGAUAGCAGCUUUCUAUAUUCCUGUAACAAAAAAAAAAAUCUAAAUAACUAAUAUAAAAUAAUAGUUCAUAAAGUGCAAUAAUAAACCCAAAGUCUUAUAGUUCGUCUACAAUCAGUAAAAUUAGGUAAUGCCUAUGAAAACCAUUUACCAGCAAUAAGUGUCUAACAAACUGUCUAAUUAUUUAAUGGAAACUCAAAAACAAAACCCCAAAACCCGGAAAACAAAAAAAAAACAAAACCGCAAGCAAAUGUAUAUAGCUGUCUCUGCAAAAAUACUCUCAGUCCCAGAUAACACCAGAACAACACCGAUGAUAUUGUAAAGUUAAAAGUAAAGCCAUAAUGCAGUUAAAUACUACUAUUUCCUACCUUCAAUAAUACAGCAAUUAUAAUAAAGAACAUUUUCUUGAAGAAAAACUUAAUACCAGCAAUAAAAAAAACAAACACAACAAAAAAAA